AUUGAACGCUGGCGGCAUGCUUUACACAUGCAAGUCGAACGAGUGGCGAACGGGUGAGUAAUAUAUUGGAACGUACCGAGUAACGGGGGAUAACCAAUCGAAAGAUUGGCUAAUACCGCAUAUUAUUCGAGCGGCCGCUAACUGAUUAGCUAGUUGGGGGGGUAAAGGCCUACCAAGGCGACGAUCAGUAGCGGAUCUGAGAGGACGAUCCGCCACGCUGGGACUGAGGCACGGCCCAGACUCCUACGGGAGGCAGCAGUGGUGAAUUGUGGACAAUUGGGGCAACCCUGAUCCAGCCAUGCCGCGUGUAUGAAGAGAGCCUUCGGGUUUUAAAGUACUUUUGUUAGAGAAGCGGUACCUAACGAAUAAGCACCGGCUAACUACGUGCCAGCAGCCGCGGUAAUUC
This 406-nucleotide ribosomal RNA is filed under the name uncultured bacterium. RNAcentral describes it as "partial 16S ribosomal RNA". It matches the Rfam family "Bacterial small subunit ribosomal RNA", at positions 30 to 526 of the family's 1533-position model. The record is from RNAcentral.